GCCCGCCUAGCUCAAUCGGAUAGAGCGUCAGACUCUUAUCUACACAGGCGGGAAUCUGAAGGCUGCGAGUUCGACCCUCGCGGUGGGCU
This 89-nucleotide transfer RNA is filed under the name Schizophyllum commune H4-8. Its description in RNAcentral is "tRNA-Lys". It matches the Rfam family "tRNA". From Rfam's summary of the family: Transfer RNA (tRNA) molecules are approximately 80 nucleotides in length. The record is from Rfam by way of RNAcentral. Lineage: Eukaryota; Fungi; Basidiomycota; Agaricomycetes; Agaricales; Schizophyllaceae.